UAUGCACAAUGAUUACUGCAACCACCCUUCCCUGGAAAGUUGCUUUUCCUUUGAUAAUGCCUGGAAGACCCAAUUCACACAAGUAGGAAAGUCUCAGCCAGAUGACAGGAGCCUAAGAUUCCAAUGGUAUGCUCAGGACUGACAUCACCACAUCAGGACUGACACAUCAAGGAUUCAGCUGCAUGGUCCAGGCUGGGGAGGAUGUCAGGGAUUGGUGUGGCCAGGACCGAUGCAGCUAUGACUGGGGAUUUAUUUGGCAUAUUUGGACUAGGUGUGAUGAGACAGCAGCUGGCACUGUCAAUAGGUUGAGGGAGGGAGGAAGAAUGAACAAAUUAUUUAUUUAGGAUUAUGGGAGUCAGGUUUCUAUGAAAGAAGGAAGUUACAAAGAUGGAAGGGAAGACUAAAAUUAACCCCAAAGGAUUGAAGGUGUCGAUGUGAACUCAAAGUUUUCAAUACGUAUGUAUGUAAAUACAUAUAGAAGUAGGUGAAUAUUCUUACAUGUGUGUAGACACAUGUUUUUCUUUGAGCUGUUAACCAACAGGGCAGUGAGCCUUUCUCAGGUCUUCAUUUCCAUAUACCAUUCCCCAUUUAAAGAAACCAGGGCUCCUUGGAAAAAUGGCUAAUUCUAGACCUGGAGUAGGGAGUAGGAAAAAGUUUAAGAUGAGCUUAUAAAAAAAAAUAAGAGCCAAAAAAGGAAUGAGACAUCUGAAAGGAACACAGAAGCCAGCUGUGUUCCUUUGAGAUGAGAGACCCCCGAAAACCAAAUCUGGGAAAAUUUCAGCAUGAAAAUGAAUGACAGUAAUACAUUGUAACCUACUGAAUAAAGUGGGCAGUCAUGAGUCUACGCUGAUUUAAGUAAAUGAAUGAAUAGAGAAAGAAGAGCUCUUUCUUAUAGUAGUAGGAUGCCAACCAAAGCAGAAGUCAUAGACUCACCAGUUGACAACCAAAAUAGUAAUUGAUUCAGUCAGGUAUUGUCAACAGACUCAAACUAGCUGGUGAAAAUUUGAUGAGAAACAGGACACUUACAGUCUUUAAGAAUCUCCUCACAAAGUACUUCCUAAUUUUAAUUUUACAAUGGAGAAACAUAGUAGACACUAUCUGAACCAAGUGACCAAAAUUAAUACCUCCAGGAAUAGGACAAAUUGACAUUGUGUGCAUCUUGGCAUGACACAUUGAGAAUACAGCAUUGUUUCUGUGGUAGUGGACAAAACUGUCUAUCCUAAAUCUUACGGGAAACAUAGAUACACCCAAACUGAGGAAUAUUUUACAAACUGGCCAAUACUCCUCAAAAGUCAACGACAAGACUGAAAAGCUGUUCUGGACUGAGUGAAACAAGAGACAGGACAAAUAAAUGCACCAUGUGGUCAUGGAUUGGGAUGAUAGAACACAGGAACAUUACUGAGGCAAUCAGAAUCAGUAAAUUGAAUGUGGUCUAUGGAUUAGAUCUCAUUAUGAUGCCAAUGUCAGUCUCUUAAAUUUGAUGGUUGUACUAAGAUUAUGCAGGAAUGCCCUUAUCUUAAGGGAACACACACUAACAUAGAUAGAGGUAAUGGUGCAAGAAAUAUUUUGGCUGGGAUAACAUUGAAUUUAUAAAUAAAUGUCAAGUAAAUGAA
Molecule: long non-coding RNA, 1613 nt
Organism: Cebus imitator (Panamanian white-faced capuchin)
Lineage: Eukaryota; Metazoa; Chordata; Mammalia; Primates; Cebidae
Exons: 2
Source: RefSeq, a predicted model, not a curated record